GGCCUUUGUGACUGCCAGCAGACGACCCGCGAACAUGUUUAUCAAUGGCGGAAGGGGCCUUGUGCUCCUGCCGCAAGGUUCUGUGAGGUGGGAAACACCACGCGGUUGCUUUGAAAACCAACCCCGGCACGAAAAGUGCCAGGGAAUACUAUCGAAAAAGUGAAUACUCCCUCAUCGACCCAGGAAUGGUGCGCGCAUGAGGGGUGUUUAUACUUGGAAAACUAAAACGACUCUCGGCAACGGAAUUCUCGGCCCUUCGCAUCGAUGAAGAACGUACCGAAAUGCGAUAUUGGGGGUGAAUUGCAGAAUCCCGUGAACCAUCGAGUCUUUGAACGCAGGUGGGGCCCCAAAGCCUUCGGGUUAGGGGCCCGUCGGCCUGGUUGUAACCCAACGCCCCUCCACCUUUUUUUCAUUGGGAAUAAAAAAUGAAGUGGACCGAAAGUGGCCUCCCGGGGGUUUAUGGUUCGUGGUUGGUAAAACAUGAGUCCAGUCGGCAAGUGCCAUGCAAUUCGUUGGUGUAACACCACUUGAUAUUGCCGUAAUACCUGGCAAAACCAUAAGGUCUCAGGACCCUUUAUAUAACUGACGCACCCCAGGUCAGCGGGAUUACCCGCUGAGUUAAGCAUAUCAUAGCGGAGGAAGAU
RNAcentral lists this ribosomal RNA (644 nucleotides) under Cathetus virgatus. RNAcentral's name for it is "eukaryotic LSU rRNA". The stretch from base 229 to 386 matches the Rfam family "5.8S ribosomal RNA". Lineage: Eukaryota; Viridiplantae; Streptophyta; Magnoliopsida; Malpighiales; Phyllanthaceae. The record is from RNAcentral.